Molecule: long non-coding RNA, 4429 nt
Filed under: Sus scrofa (pig)
Lineage: Eukaryota; Metazoa; Chordata; Mammalia; Artiodactyla; Suidae
Description: lncRNA (ENSSSCG00000056893.1)
Source: RNAcentral
AUGUGGCUGACACACUUGGCCCAGCUUUAAUGUGUAUGUGUGUGUGUGUUUUUAAAAAGAAACAAGUUAGCAUUUUAAACUCAUUAGUAUUGUUUUUUCCCAUGAUCUGUCCUGUUUCUUCUCUUUCCCAGUCUGAAGUGCUGAAGUUUUAGUGAAAAGUGUCUAGACAGACAUUCACUAAAUGAAUGUUUAGUGAAAAAUGACUAGACAGAGGCGUAGACUCAAAACCCUCCCUUGCGUGUUGGAGGCCUUGGGGGCUAUGCAGAGACCCAAGGGAGGGAGGGGGCCAAAUGAUCACAUCUUUGGAAUUGCAGAAGGGACCUACAACCUCCCCACCAUCACCCCAUCCCCUGCCCCAGAAUGGCAGCUGCCACACACACAAGCCUGCCUCCGAUGGCAACAACACCCACCACGGCAAUGGAAGCUUCCCCCACCCCCAGGAUGAGAACUCACCCCCACCCGAAGUCAUGACUGCACCCACCAGGGAGCCAAGUUCAGAUCCCACUGAUGGUGAUUCUCAGGUCUAAACAGAAAGUAGGAAGGGAGACAGUGUCCAGACAGAUAAAGGAGAAUUCAAGGGAGGGAGAGAAGCAGCAGCCUGGUCCCUCCUUGUGCUCCUGCUGCCCCCAUUCAGGUCAAUUCCUUGCUGAACAGACUUCAACAAUCAUCUUCUUGUCACUUUUUUUUGGGCUGCAUUAUAUAUAUGUAUGCCGUACCCAUGGCAGGCAGAAAUUCCUGGGCCAAGGAUCGAACCCACAUCACAGCGGUAACCAAAAAUGCCAGAUCCUUAACCCCCUGAACCACCGGAAAACUCCCUGUGCUUUAUGUUUUGAUUAUCUCCUCACCCUGGAGUCAUUACUGGAAGACUACACUAAAGCCAUCUCUUUGGGGGAAAGCUAAGUCUAAACAAGAAUGUGGAAGUGUAGGUUUUUGUUAAGAAAAAAAUAACCCAAAUUAGGCAACAGGAGCCCCAUGGAAAGACUGAAGAGACUAACAUGCAAAUUGUUUGAAAGAUGAUUUUUUGUGUUCAGGAGGUAUCCUCCUGCUAGCUGACUUCCAGUCUCAGUUGGCUGGACAGACUUCCCCCCCAAAAAUGCAAAAGUGUACUUUAGCCACAACACUAAGUUCGCCAUUAGUUGGUGUCUGAGUGACUUACAGGCUGGAACUAGCCAGGCAUUCCAAGCUGCAGACAGACCACCUGAGGGGACAGCCAUGGGUCCUUCCACGCCUGGCUGUUAUCUUGUUUCCAGUCUCUUAUGCUCUGCCCCCUCACAUUCCUAACCCUGGGGAGACCCCCAGUAUUUCAUAACAAGGAAUUCCUUCUGGACGCCAAGGAAGACCCUUCCCCUUCCUUCAGGCAGAGAUCUUGGAGAGCUCACUUCGUCUCCAGUGGUUACCUCAGAGAGGACUCAGCCCACGCUUUUGUAUUUUAACAGCUCGAUUGUGCUAUAAUUUGCUUCCGUAAAAUUCACUUAUCCAAAGUGUACAAUUCAGUGAUUUUUAGCAAAUUUGUAGCGUGUGCAUCGUUCACCCCAAUCUAAUUUUAGAACAUUUUCAUCACUCCCUCAGCCCCGGGUAAUCUGCACAGUUUUCUGUCUGUAUAGUUCUUUUUUUUUUUUUUUUUUGACAUUUCAUAUAAGUGGAAUUUUAAAAUAUGUAGCAUUUUGCUUCUGGCUCCUUUCACUUAGCAGUGUGUUUUUGAGGUUCAUCUAACUUGUAGCAAGUAUCAGAAGAUCAUUUUAUUGUUGAAUAGUAUUCUGCCAUAUGGAUAUUCCACGUUUUGUUUAUCCAUUCAUUCAUUGAUGGACAUUUUGAUUCUUUCAGUUUGGGGCUAUUAUGAAUAAUGCUGCUACGAACAUUGCAUAUGUUGAUAUGUGGACAUGUGUGUUCAUUUCUCCUGAGUAGAUGCCUAGGAGUAGAGUUGCUGGGUCAUGUGGGAAAAUCAUAGAUAUUUUUAAGAAAUUACCAAAUUAUUUUCCAAAGAGGUUGUACCAUUUUACCUUCCAAGUAAUGACUGAAGACUCCAGUUUCUCCACCUGCUCUCCAACACUUCUUAUCAUCUGCUUUGUUUUUUGUGAGAGUUCCAAGUCCAGGAACUGAACCCACGCCACAGCUGCGACACGAGCCAUAGCAGUAAAACUGCCUGAUCCUUAACCCGCUAAGCCACCAGGGAAUUCCACAUCUGAUGUGUUUUUUGUUUGUUUGUUUGUUUGUUGUUUUUGUCUUUUUAGGGCCGCACCCACACAGCAUCUGGAGGUUCCCAGGCUAGGGGUCGAAUCAGAGCUGCAGCCGCUGGCCUACGCCACAGCCACUGCAACUCGGGAUCCUUAACCCACUGAGCAAGGCCAGGGAUUGAACCCACCUCCUUAUGAAUACUAGUCCUAUUCAUUUCCACUGAGCCACGAUGGGAACUCCUGAUUUGUUUUAAUUUGUCAUCCACUUUUAAGACUAUGGAAAGAAAAUACUACAUGCAUGAAAAUAUUGAGGCUGCAGACAAGUUCUAUGAAUUGUUCAUUAAAUCUCACCAAGUGCCCUUUGUUUAUUUGUUCUUACAGCCAUUCAACAAAUAUUUCCUGAGCAUAUACUCUUGGCUGAAUUCGGUGGUGAAUAAGAUAGGAAACACCAUCUCCACUUACUCAGGAUGAAGUGUAUUAAACAAGAAAUAUUGUAAUAACAGGCUAAGUCUUCCUGGGGUAGCAGUAUUUGCUGUGCAAUGAUGCCUUAGGCAAAGCCCAGCUGUAUCAACUGAUGAGGAUCCCGCAAGCAUCAUUAGAAUCGGGUCCCAGUGUCUGUAAAUGUCAAAGGACAGAGAUGCCUCCCCCGUCAUGGGCACACUGGCGGGGUCAGUACCCACUGUCUUCUAGAGCUUGUGACUACAGGUGGCUGGAGAUUUUCUUUGGAGGCUCUGCCUCAUCUGGAGAUCUCAAUGUUUCCUGUAUCUCAGAACAGGUUGGCAGGGCUGUACCCUGGAGCCGAAGGCCCCCUGGCCUGCCCUGCGAAACAUGGCUGGGGAAAAACACAUGUUCAUUCUUACUAACCUCUAGCUGAAAUGUGGCAUUUCCUCUUAUUAUAAAUGUCGGAAAACCCCCAAGGUGUGUUUAGCAUCCUCAUGGCUGCUAAAAAUGGGUAAAAAUGGGUUUUUUUCAGAUCACACUGCAGUGGUGGCAGAUGUCACAUCACUUUUCCAAGAUGACACCCAUUAUGGGACCUGCAGCAACAUCUUGCUACCAAAUUCAUAGAGAAGCACAUAUAUUACAAUCAUUUUUAAAAUAUUUUGAUAAUUUCAAUAUAGAUGUUGUCUUUGUAACUAGAGUGGUUUUUUUGUUUUUGGUUUUUGUUUGUUUGUUUGUUUGUUUUUCUGCCUUAAAAUCCUACAUUCAGAGAAGGGACCCCAGGUGCAGAAAGAUUAGGAGCCCAUCUUUAUGGCUUCUCUUCUGAGACCAUCCGCCAAGUGCCCAGCACUCUGCUCCUUGCAGGAUGAAGUCCUUUCCUUCCCUGGGAGGUGGGGUGUGUCCGGGGCUGCUGCCUGAAGCCUGGGCCCAGAACCCAGGUGGUCCUUCUGGUUGCACUCACUCACCCACUCCCGCCUUUCCCACCUGCACCCAGGCUCCUCUGUCUGCUUUAGUCCGAGCGAGAUGAAGCGGAGGGGUGCUGUCCCACCCACCGCCUUCCUACUUUCUCAUUCCAUUUCAAAAGUGCACAUGAAGAAAGACAGCAACACAGAGAAGCAGGAACAGGGCCUCCCCAGCCCAGUAGGAGCACAAACUGGUUCUAUGUUCCUUCAGAGUAAAUAGCAAUACUGUUUCUUGUUCAAAUCUGCCGGGCUCGUGGGCUUCUGCAACCUCGGUUCUCUCUGAACCCCAAGUCCAUGGGAGGGACAGAGGAGAUUCCAAUUCCACCAGCCAGGCCAGUGUCUCAUCAGGGAGAGUAACCACUUUUUUCCUUUCCGGUAAACAGUCUUCAAUUUUUUUUUUUUUUUUUUUUUUUUUUGUCUUUCUGUCUUUUUGUGGGCCACAGCCGUGGCUUAUGGAGGUUCCCAGGCUAGGGGUCCAAUCGAAGCUGUAGCUGCUGGCCUAUAUCAUAGCCAUAGCAAUGCCAGAUUUAACACUCUGAGCCAGGCCAGGGAUCGAACUCACAACCUCAUGGUUCCUAGUCGGAUUUGUUAACCACUGAGCCACAAUGGGAACUCCCAGUCUUCAAAUUUUAAUUGUUAUCCAAUAAGGGUCAAUUUCUAGUUCCUGAAAAUAGCUUCUUCAGUACGGAUGUCCUUAGCAGAAGAUACACAUUUCUUCGCUACAAAAUACAGCUUACCAUGUUGACUUUAUGAAGUACAAUGAGUGAUUUGGUAAGAGUUGGGCUGAUUCUGUAGGUCCUAUAAAUAUGCAUAUUCACUGCACAGGUUGUAUUCUCUUAAUAAAUUUUAUUAACU